Molecule: long non-coding RNA, 562 nt
Filed under: Amborella trichopoda
Lineage: Eukaryota; Viridiplantae; Streptophyta; Magnoliopsida; Amborellales; Amborellaceae
Description: long non-coding RNA (ATRI_LNC004384)
Source: RNAcentral
GAAGCCCGUUCGUAGUCAGAGCCUGUCGAAUCACCGGAAUCUUGGCCAGAAUCCUCAACGGAAAGUUUGAUUUGCUCGGGAAUGUUGCCGAAAAAUUGGUUCUUGCCUGUGCCAUAGGUUGGGUGGCCGGAAGAGAUGGAUUUCCGGCAAGGAAGGCAGCGUCCACAAUGGAGUUUACUGAAAAGAGAGAGAAAAAAGGAUUUGGAGUUGUUUCAUCUUCUUUUCUUCUAGAAAGAAAAAGAAGAGACUUGUUUCUGCUAGAUUUUGAGGAAACGAAUUCGUUGGGUGAGGCAAUAGGGGCAUAUCCCCUGUAGAGGGUGAGAAGGGCUCAUUAGUUAGCGGUGGGUGCUACACUCUUUGGCCAUCGCCAUGCCUAUGCUCAUAUUCAUGCUCCUCUCUCUCUCUGAGAGGAGACUUCACUCUUUCUCUCUCUAUCUGUGACAGAAGCUUCUAAAGAAAGCUUGAUGCCCAAGAUAGUUCUCUCUCUAGAUGGUGCUCUCUUUCUCUCUCUGAUGUGGUAGAUUGUAGGCUUUCUCUCUGCAAUAUAUGCGUUGGUUUCUCU